UGAGGAAUAUUGGUCAAUGGGCGAGAGCCUGAACCAGCCAAGUAGCGUGCAGGACGACGGCCCUAUGGGUUGUAAACUGCUUUUAUGUGGGGAUAAAGUGCGUGACGUGUCAUGCAUUGCAGGUACCACAUGAAUAAGGACCGGCUAAUUCCGUGCCAGCAGCCGCGGUAAUACGGAAGGUCCGGGCGUUAUCCGGAUUUAUUGGGUUUAAAGGGAGCGUAGGCUGUCUAUUAAGCGUGUUGUGAAAUAUACCGGCUCAACCGGUGGCUUGCAGCGCGAACUGGUCGACUUGAGUAUGCAGGAAGUAGGCGGAAUUCAUGGUGUAGCGGUGAAAUGCUUAGAUAUCAUGACGAACGCCGAUUGCGCAGGCAGCUUACUGUAGCAUAACUGACGCUGAUGCUCGAAAGUGCGGGUAUCAAACAGG
This 424-nucleotide ribosomal RNA is filed under the name Verrucomicrobiota bacterium. RNAcentral's name for it is "Verrucomicrobia bacterium partial 16S ribosomal RNA". It matches the Rfam family "Bacterial small subunit ribosomal RNA", at positions 355 to 776 of the family's 1533-position model. Lineage: Bacteria; Pseudomonadati; Verrucomicrobiota. The record is from RNAcentral.